GAGUUUGAUCAUGGCUCAGAUUGAACGCUGGCGGCAUGCCUUACACAUGCAAGUCGAACGGCAGCAUGAUCUAGCUUGCUAGAUUGAUGGCGAGUGGCGAACGGGUGAGUAAUACAUCGGAACGUGCCCUGUAGUGGGGGAUAGCUAGUCGAAAGAUUAGCUAAUACCGCAUACGACCUGAGGGUGAAAGUGGGGGACCGCAAGGCCUCAUGCUAUAGGAGCGGCCGAUGUCUGAUUAGCUAGUUGGUGGGGUAAAGGCCCACCAAGGCGACGAUCAGUAGCUGGUCUGAGAGGACGAUCAGCCACACUGGGACUGAGACACGGCCCAGACUCCUACGGGAGGCAGCAGUGGGGAAUUUUGGACAAUGGCGAAAGCCUGAUCCAGCAAUGCCGCGUGUGUGAGAAGG
Molecule: ribosomal RNA, 407 nt
Filed under: uncultured microorganism
Description: bacterial SSU rRNA
Rfam family: Bacterial small subunit ribosomal RNA
Source: RNAcentral